Molecule: ribosomal RNA, 254 nt
Filed under: uncultured bacterium
Lineage: Bacteria
Description: partial 16S ribosomal RNA
Rfam family: Bacterial small subunit ribosomal RNA
Source: RNAcentral
UACAUGGGGUGCAAACGUUGCUCGGAAUUAUUGGGCGUAAAGCGCACGUAGGCGGUUCGUUAAGUCGGAUGUGAAAGCCCUCGGCUCAACUGAGGAAGUGCACCCGAAACUGGCGAGCUUGAGUACGAAAGAGGAUCGCGGAAUUCCCGGUGUAGAGGUGAAAUUCGUAGAUAUCGGGAGGAACACCGGUGGCGAAGGCGGCGAUCUGGGUCGAUACUGACGCUGAGGUGCGAAAGCGUGGGGAGCAAACAGGG